UACAGAGGGUGCGAGCGUUAAUCGGAAUUACUGGGCGUAAAGCGUGCGUAGACGGUUACAUAAGUCGGGUGUGAAAGCCCCGGGCUCAACCUGGGAAUUGCAUUCGAGACUGCGUAGCUAGGGUGCGGAAGAGGGAAGCGGAAUUUCCGGUGUAGCGGUGAAAUGCGUAGAUAUCGGAAGGAACACCAGUGGCGAAGGCGGCUCACUGGCCCGGUACUGACGCUGAGGUGCGAAAGCGUGGGGAGCAAACAGG
RNAcentral lists this ribosomal RNA (253 nucleotides) under uncultured bacterium. RNAcentral describes it as "partial 16S ribosomal RNA". It matches the Rfam family "Bacterial small subunit ribosomal RNA", at positions 524 to 776 of the family's 1533-position model. The record is from RNAcentral.